GAUGAACGCUAGCGGAGCGCCUAACACAUGCAAGUCGAAUGUGGAUUUAUCCACAUGGCAGACGGGCGAGUAACACGUGCUUAAUUUGCCUCGGAGCGAGGAAUAACCCGGGAAACCGGAAUAAUUCCUCAUACGAUCCUAGAAAUGAAAAUACUAGGAUGAAAGGUUUACCACUCUGAGAGAAGAGCGCGGUCUAUUAGGUAGUUGGUGAGGUAAUGGCUCACCAAGCCGAUGAUGGAUAGCUGGUCUGAGAGGAUGACCAGCCGCAAUGGAACUGAGACACGGUCCAUACCCCUACGGGGGGCAGCAGUGGGGAAUAUUGGACAAUGGAGGAAACUCUGAUCCAGCGACUCCGCGUGGAGGAUGACGCAUUACGGUGUGUAAACUCCUUUUUUGGAGGAAGACGACUGACGGUACUCCAAGAAUAAGCGACGGCUAACUACGUG
Molecule: ribosomal RNA, 446 nt
Filed under: uncultured organism
Description: bacterial SSU rRNA
Rfam family: Bacterial small subunit ribosomal RNA
Source: RNAcentral